Molecule: long non-coding RNA, 116 nt
Organism: Amblyraja radiata (thorny skate)
Lineage: Eukaryota; Metazoa; Chordata; Chondrichthyes; Rajiformes; Rajidae
Exons: 3
Source: RefSeq, a predicted model, not a curated record
CAUGUUGCCCAUCCAAUAGAUUACAUUUUUAAUAUUCGUUGCCCAGUAAUAGUAUAAAAAAUUGUGGAGAGCCAAUCCGCCGAUUUCUUUAGGUUUACAAAGAUGGCAAUAGUCCU